ACAAGCGGUGGAGCAUGUGGUUUUAAUUCGAAGCAACGCGCAGAACUUACCAGCCUUUGACAUGGCAGGACGAUUUUCAGAGAUGGAUCUCUUCCAGCAAUGGACCUGCACACAGGUGCUGCAUGGCUGUCGUCAGCUCGUGUCGUGAGAUGUUGGGUUAAGUCCCGCAACGAGCGCAACCCUCGCCUUUAGUUGCCAUCAUUCAGCUGGGCACUCUAAAGGGACUGCCGGUGAUAAGCCGCGAGGAAGGUGGGGAUGACGUCAAGUCCUCAUGGCCCUUACGGGCUGGGCUACACACGUGCUACAAUGGCGGUGACAGUGGGAUGCAAAGGGGCGACCCCUCGCAAAUCUCAAAAAGCCGUCUCAGUUCGGAUUGUACUCUGCAACUCGAGUGCAUGAAGUUGGAAUCGCUAGUAAUCGUGGAUCAGCAUGCCACGGUGAAUACGUUCCCGGGCCUU
This 458-nucleotide ribosomal RNA is filed under the name uncultured Xanthobacter sp. Its description in RNAcentral is "bacterial SSU rRNA". It matches the Rfam family "Bacterial small subunit ribosomal RNA", at positions 925 to 1382 of the family's 1533-position model. The record is from RNAcentral. Lineage: Bacteria; Pseudomonadati; Pseudomonadota; Alphaproteobacteria; Hyphomicrobiales; Xanthobacteraceae.